This 332-nucleotide ribosomal RNA is filed under the name uncultured Acidobacteriota bacterium. RNAcentral's name for it is "bacterial SSU rRNA". It matches the Rfam family "Bacterial small subunit ribosomal RNA", at positions 568 to 898 of the family's 1533-position model. The record is from RNAcentral. Lineage: Bacteria; Pseudomonadati; Acidobacteriota.
UUCGUAGGUGGCCGACUAAGCCAGACGUGAAAUCCCUCAGCUUAACUGGGGAACUGCGUCUGGGACUGGUCGGCUUGAGGACAGGAGAGGAACGCGGAAUUCCAGGUGUAGCGGUGAAAUGCGUAGAUAUCUGGAGGAACACCGGUGGCGAAGGCGGCGUUCUGGACUGUUUCUGACACUGAAGAACGAAAGCCAGGGGAGCAAACGGGAUUAGAUACCCCGGUAGUCCUGGCCCUAAACGAUGAAUGCUUGGUGUGGCGGGUAUCGAUCCCUGCCGUGCCGUAGUUAACGCGUUAAGCAUUCCGCCUGGGGAGUACGGUCGCAAGGCUGAA